RNAcentral lists this transfer RNA (111 nucleotides) under Podoviridae sp. ctval4. RNAcentral's name for it is "tRNA-Tyr". It matches the Rfam family "tRNA". From Rfam's summary of the family: Transfer RNA (tRNA) molecules are approximately 80 nucleotides in length. Lineage: Duplodnaviria; Heunggongvirae; Uroviricota; Caudoviricetes. The record is from RNAcentral.
CUGUGGGUAGUUCAAUAGGCAGAAACAUUCUAUCGUAAAGCCGCUGUAUGAUAAAACGACCGCGACCUAGGCGAUGUUGAAAAGAUGUGAGUUCGAAUCCCACCCCACAGG